This is a long non-coding RNA of Homo sapiens (human), 304 nucleotides long. RefSeq lists it as uncharacterized. NCBI's taxonomy places the organism in Eukaryota, Metazoa, Chordata, Mammalia, Primates, Hominidae. The record is from RefSeq and is a predicted model, not a curated record. The transcript is spliced from 3 exons.
GGUGCUGUCAGGUUGUACCUGCAUAAAGCUGGUCAAAGACUCAAUGAUCCUCACCACAGUGGCAGGAAGAAGAGUGAAUCAAGAGGUAUCCAAGAGCAGCAUGAAAACACACUAAUACAUGGACUAUGUGCAGAUCGGCAAACAUACCCAGCCCUGUUGUCCUGAAGCUUCCACUCCAGGUGAUUGUGUAUCUUGGGAGAUACCUGUGACCAAACUGGCAGCUAAUGUACAUGAAGGUGUCCUCUGCAGCAUCGUCAGAACAAGGGAAACAGUGAAAUUACCAGCGUUCAUCAACUGAGAAAUG